GGCAGGGGUGCUUUUAUUUAUUUAUGCAAGCUGCUGAGAGUCCUGCAAAUGGAUCUCGUCGAACAGACACGGUUUCCACGACCAUAUUUCAGUGGGAUGUGAUGAGAGUGCCACAUGCUGAGUUCCUGCAGAAUCACUUCUUCAGAAGACAGAAAUUUCUAUUGGGUACUUGGAACCAAGCAAUAGGGAUGCCGUGCACUCUGUUAACAUCACUUGCUCCUUGUUGCAGAAAAGCAGCAAUCAGCACCCUGACCACAACCACGGGGAGCAGCAACGGGGC
Long non-coding RNA from Chiroxiphia lanceolata (lance-tailed manakin), 280 nucleotides. RefSeq lists it as uncharacterized. NCBI's taxonomy places the organism in Eukaryota, Metazoa, Chordata, Aves, Passeriformes, Pipridae. The transcript is spliced from 3 exons. The record is from RefSeq and is a predicted model, not a curated record.